CCUACGGGUGGCUGCAGUGGGGGAUAUUGGACAAUGGGGGAAACCCUGAUCCAGCGAUGCCGCGUGAGGGAAGAAGGUUUUCGGAUUGUAAACCUCUGUGGAGGGGGACGAUAAUGACGGUACCCAUUUAGGAAGCCACGGAUAACUACGGGCCAGCAGCCGCGGUCAUACGUAGUAUGCGAGCGUUAUCGGGAUUUAUGGGGUUAAAAGUGUGCGCAGGCGGAUGAUCAAGUCAGCGGUAAAAUUGCGAGGCUAAACCUCUUGGAGCCGUUGAUAAUGGUAUUCUUGAGUGAGUGAGAAGUAUGCGGAAUGCGUGGUGUAGCGGUGAAAUGCAUAGAUAUCACGCAGAACUCCGAUUGCGAAGGCAGCAUACCGGCGCUCAACUGACGCUCAUGCACGAAAGUGUGGGUAUCGAACAGGAUUAGAUACCCCUGUAGUC
RNAcentral lists this ribosomal RNA (439 nucleotides) under uncultured bacterium. RNAcentral's name for it is "partial 16S ribosomal RNA". It matches the Rfam family "Bacterial small subunit ribosomal RNA", at positions 338 to 795 of the family's 1533-position model. The record is from RNAcentral.